This 1278-nucleotide ribosomal RNA is filed under the name uncultured bacterium. RNAcentral's name for it is "partial 16S ribosomal RNA". It matches the Rfam family "Bacterial small subunit ribosomal RNA", at positions 52 to 1419 of the family's 1533-position model. The record is from RNAcentral.
UGCAUGCAAGUCGGACGCAGGGAGCUUCGGCCCCCUGAGUGGCGCACGGCUGAGGAACACGUGGGUGAUCUACCCGGGUGUGGGGGAUAACGGGCCGAAAGGUUCGCUAAUUCCGCAUACGCUCCGAAUCGGAGGAAAGCGUUCGCGCGCACUCGGAUGAGCCUGCGGCCCAUCAGGUUGCUGGUAGGGUAAUGGCCUACCAGGCCAAUGACGGGUACCUGGUCUGAGAGGACGACCAGGCAGACUGGGACUGAGACACGGCCCAGACUCCUACGGGAGGCAGCAGUAGGGAAUUUUCCACAAUGGACGAAAGUCUGAUGGAGCAACGCCGCGUGCAGGAUGACGGCCUUCGGGUUGUAAACUGCUUUUAUGAGUGAAGAUUUAGACGGUAACUCAAGAAUAAGGAUCGGCUAACUACGUGCCAGCAGCCGCGGUCAUACGUAGGAUCCAAGCGUUAUCCGGAAUUACUGGGCGUAAAGAGUUGCGUAGGUGGUCUCAUCAAGCGGAAUGUGAAAGCGCACGGCUCAACCGUGUAUACAUGUUCUGAACUGAUGGACUAGAGGGCGAGAGAGGUUACUGGAAUUUCUUGUGUAGGAGUGAAAUCCGUAGAUAUAAGAAGGAACACCGAUGGCGUAGGCAGGUAACUGGCUCGCACCUGACACUAAGGCACGAAAGCGUGGGUAGCAAACGGGAUUAGAUACCCCGGUAGUCCACGCUGUAAACGAUGGAUGCUAGCUGUUGGUCGUAUCGACCCGAUCAGUAGCGAAGCUAACGCGUUAAGCAUCCCGCCUGUGGAGUACGAGCGCAAGCUUAAAACAUAAAGGAAUUGACGGGGACCCGCACAAGCGGUGGAGCGUGUUGUUUAAUUCGAUGAUAAGCGAAGAACCUUACCCAGGUUUGACAUCCUUGGAAGGACUACGAAAGUAGACUGUGCCUUUUGGAACCAAGUGACAGGUGAUGCAUGGCCGUCGUCAGCUCGUGUCGUGAGAUGUUUGGUUAGUCCAUCACGAGCGCAACCCUAUAGUAGUGUAUUUUUCUAGCUAGACUGCCUGCACAGGAGAAGGAGGGAUGAUGUCAGUCAGUAUCUCCCUACAUCUGGGCUACAACCCGCUACAUGCCGUACAAGGCAGCCACCCCGCGAGGGAGCUAUCCAUCAAGGCGGUCCAGUCGAUGCAGCCUGAACCGCCUGCUGAAGCCGGAUCCUAGUACGUAGUCGACAAUACGGGAUACGUUCGCCUGGUUACUACCAGCCCGCUAACACAAGAAUAUGUAGGUGCA